GUUAAAGAGAAACUCCUCAGUGAAGCGUGUUGAACUAGACAAAGGUUAUAUCAACAUCUACUUGGACGAGCUGAAGAAAGAUAAGACGAGUGUUUACAGCGUCACUCUGGAGGAAGAUGUGCCUGUCGGGAACCUAAAAGCAGCUGUGGUCAAAGUGUACGACUACUACCAGACAAGUGAUGUGGCCAUGACAGAGUACACAUCCCCCUGUGCCAAGUGAGGGGAUCAACAAGCUUUAAAUGAACAUUGAGAAGACAACUCCGAUUCGUAUCUGAAAGACUAUGAAGAUGUUCAUCAAACAUAGAUGUGACUCUUUCAAUUGGUGUAUUGAUUUGAAGGGAAUCCCUGUGAUUACAAAUGAUUUUAUUUCCCUUUUUCUGUGUGUUCCUUUCUUUUAUAAAGUUAGGUUCACGUGUCUUUGGCUCACUACAACACUGGAAAUGUUUGAGGUCUUUUAACCCAUUGAAACCAAGAAGAGAAAAACUUUGCAAAUGUAAAAUUUUAUUAGGAUUGACAAGUCCAUGUUUUUGGAUUGAAAAUGUUUCUCAAAGUGGAGGACAAUAAUACAUUCAAGGUACCAAUAACUGAAUAAAUGAGUGCUAUGUGAGUUGGUGCAUGGGUUUGUUUUGAAUGGUGCUGUACCUUUUCAUAAGAUCAAACUCGUCAC
Syngnathoides biaculeatus (alligator pipefish) is the source of this 667-nucleotide long non-coding RNA. RefSeq lists it as uncharacterized. The record is from RefSeq and is a predicted model, not a curated record. The transcript has 4 exons. Lineage: Eukaryota; Metazoa; Chordata; Actinopteri; Syngnathiformes; Syngnathidae.